AAACGGGGUCUAAUACCGGAUACGACCUUCGAGCGCAUGCUUGAAGGUGGAAAGCUCCGGCGGUGCAGGAUGAGCCCGCGGCCUAUCAGCUUGUUGGUGGGGUAAUGGCCUACCAAGGCGACGACGGGUAGCCGGCCUGAGAGGGCGACCGGCCACACUGGGACUGAGACACGGCCCAGACUCCUACGGGAGGCAGCAGUGGGGAAUAUUGCACAAUGGGCGAAAGCCUGAUGCAGCGACGCCGCGUGAGGGAUGACGGCCUUCGGGUUGUAAACCUCUUUCAGCAGGGAAGAAGCGAGAGUGACGGUACCUGCAGAAGAAGCGCCGGCUAACUACGUGCCAGCAGCCGCGGUAAUACGUAGGGCGCAAGCGUUGUCCGGAAUUAUUGGGCGUAAAGAGCUCGUAGGCGGCUUGUCACGUCGGAUGUGAAAGCCCGGGGCUUAACCCCGGGUCUGCAUUCGAUACGGGCAGGCUAGAGUUCGGUAGGGGAGAUCGGAAUUCCUGGUGUAGCGGUGAAAUGCGCAGAUAUCANGAGGAACACCGGUGGCGAAGGCGGAUCUCUGGGCCGAUACUGACGCUG
RNAcentral lists this ribosomal RNA (580 nucleotides) under Actinomycetales bacterium TLI218. RNAcentral describes it as "bacterial SSU rRNA". It matches the Rfam family "Bacterial small subunit ribosomal RNA", at positions 154 to 748 of the family's 1533-position model. The record is from RNAcentral. Lineage: Bacteria; Bacillati; Actinomycetota; Actinomycetes; Actinomycetales.